CUUGGAGAGAAAGUGUCGCCUAGAGUAACUUCGAGCUUCGUUUUGUCGUUUGCAUGAGUCCUUACUCGCGGUACGUCAGCGAUAUUUGUUGCACCGCCUUAUAAUGUUUGUGAGGGUGUGCGUGAUUGCAUCGAGGGCAUGAGUAGACUUUUUUUUUUUUAGCAAACUGUUGAACUUGCAGUGCGUUCUGAUUCUCUGAAAGCAUGAUUUGAGACGCACUGAGGCCGUUCGGGGUGAUGGCUGAGCACUUUUUUUGAGAGGACAGAAAAUGUAAUUUCCUCUUGCUCCUACUGGUGACUUUCAGAGACAUUAUAAGCCUCAGGAGGCAUUAUACGCCACUUGGCUGAGCCACUUAAUUCUUGACUCUUGAGUGCCAUCAGUAAUCGUUGUGUCUAAUAGUCACCAAACUGACCGAACACCUGGAGCCUAGAACAUUCGGCACAGCACGUAGACUUUGCUAGGCCCCGUGGGCAGUGCACCGUAUGCAUGGAGAAAUAGAAGCAAGCCACAGAGGUCUAAAACAUUCUCAAAGAGGUUCAGGAUUUUUUGAUGCCUCAUUCACUUGGGAACCUGUCAAAAAGCAGAUUCGUAGGUCUUGAACUAAAUCCACUGAAUGACACGUUUCAACUAAGUAUUUAAAUUUGAGAAACUUCCUCUUUGAAAGCAGUGCCAGCGUUCUAAGGUUAAGAAAUGAUACUGUGCAGGGGGGGGCUGGGUGGCUCAGUGGGUCGUGCAUGGGACUUCAGAUCAGGUCAUGAUGUCAGGGUUUGUGAGUUCGAGCCCCGCAUCCAGCUCUGUGCUGACAGUGCAGAGCCUGCUUCGAAUCCUCUGUCUCCCUGUGUGUGUCUCUCUCCCCCCCCACCCCCCCCCACUGCUUGUGCUCUCUCUCUCGCUCCUUUUCAAAAAUAAAUAAAUAAACAUAAAAAAAAAAAGAGCCAGUCACAGAAGCAGGUGAGAGGAGAGUAUAUACAGUAGACUGUCUCUUGCUAAAGGGUAAAUGCCAAACUACCAAGUUACUUGGAGGACACUUCAAUACAGUGGUGCAUAUUUUUAUCAUCUCUAACAUCUUUCCUGAUCUGUUUUUGCCCUGAGACUUUCACAGUAUCUUAACUUGCCUCUCCACUUUCCCCAUUGACUCCUAAUUAAACUGCCAUCAGUGCUUACAGUCCACCACUGGACUAGGCACUUUUCAGAAACCGCCAAAAACCAUAGUCCGUAUUUCUGUAUCCCCUGCCUGGCACACCGUUUGGGGGCUAGGACAUUUUAAUUUAAUAACUACUUAACAACGUCCAUAUGUAUUCAGUGAAUAUGGGGGGAGAAAGCAGGUAAAAUAGAACUAGUUAAUGAACAACUUUGCAAGCUGGAAAUUUGUCCUUUAGGAAACCAUUCUAGGUUCUCUGUGAGAACAGUGACAUUAAAUAAUCAGAAGCCGGGUUCUGUGGAGUAUACACCAUGACAUUAACCAUGGAGGGGAGUCCUUAGGACUGACACUGAAGGGAGCAUUCGGUGCCUCGUCUUAGUGGUGGCUGUGGAAAAGGAAUGAGCUGAAUCUUCCUGCAGAAAAAUCCCUGGGAUUUGUCGGCUACUGGCUUGGGACCAAAAGAGAGGCAUCUGUUAGUUAUGUAACUCCAAGGCUGGAAUAAGGAAACGAAUGAUACUGGGAGAGCAGUAGACAAGUUGGGAAGGAAUGUUGCUUUGGGGAGGGGUGUGAACAGAGGAUGUGAGUUUCUCCUUGACACGUUAAGCUCGAUGUGGCAUCUUUGCUUAGUUCUGAAGGCAGCUGGGCAUACCAGGCUGAAGCAGGUGGAGGGAUCUCAAGGUUGGAGAUUUGGGAAGCUUUGGCCCACAGACAGGAGCUAAAGCCAGGAGUCAGAGAAAGCCUGCCGAGGGAGGGUGUGGAGCCAAAGAAAGAUAGAAGAGAUCCAAAGGGCACAGUGCCCUGGAAGCCGGAGGAGGAUAUGAUUCCAAAGGACAGACAUCUCUGCUUACAUUACUCAAAAAUGAUGCAAAUCCCAAAGGCCCUGAGAGAGUCUGGCCCAUAAUGAGUUCGGUUCUUUUUUUCUUUCUUUCUUUUUUUUUAAAUCCCCUUGGUCUUUUGGUUUGUAUUGUUGCCAGGAAUAAAAUCAGCAGCCAAAAGAUUCGGAGGAAGGACAGCUGAAAGUCAGGAAUAAUUGCGUCAUAAUUAUAGGAUCGCAUACAACAUACAUAAGUGUUUUUCUGGUUUACACGUGGGCUUUUGGUAACACGGUUACCAUACAGACCCCCGUGCCCUCGCAAAUCCUCUGUUUCACCUUCUGCCUGUGCUCCUUUCUGCCCCUUUUUUCUGAGAGGACUGAUUCUGCCACCCCCUUCUUUAGACUUGAUCUAAGUGUGGUAGCCUCUCCGGGACCACUCCUUCUGUUCCCCUUUGGCAAACACCCUUCCAUCCCCUCUGCUAGUGCUCCCCUUUUGAAGCCCAAUUUGGGCUGGUAGGAACUGGGCUUUAUCCGUCUCUAUCAGUCCCCACACUGCCUAGUGCUUGUACGUGCACAUCACGUCUCGCUGACACAGAGAUGGGCUGCUAGAUUCCUCUUCCAGAAAGAACGCCUGCCUGGUACUGUCAGUUAAAGUGAUACUGGGAAGAUCAUCAUUGACAUCCCAUUGGAACAUUAGCUUUUAGCCAAAUUGCCCAAAAUAGCUGCUUCCAGUUUAGUCGGCUAUUUGUUCCAAUUUCUAAAUCAGGCACAGAGACCAUGCACUUUUAAUUAGCACAUGUUUUAGUGGUCAAAGGUAAUUGCCAGCAGAUUGGCAGCUUAUAGGAAUUAACUACAAGGAGGCUUCUCCCAAAAGUUUAUUCCCAAAAGGUCAUCGUGAUGCAAUGUGAUGCUCUCAUUGCUUCGUUUCCUUUAUUGUUUAGUAUUUAUAUCAAUGACGUGCCCUUUUUGUGUCAUCUUGUUCCAUUUUAUUUCUGCCAUUGCUUAAUAGUGACUUGGGCCUUUCCAGUUCUUCUGAGGCAUAAAAAAGCACAGACGUUAGACUUAGAAAACCUGAGUUUGAAUCCUGCCUUCCCCCUUCCCUGACCUUUUGACAAUCCAUGACCUCCCUGGACUUAAUUUUCCUCAAUUUCAAAAUCAAGAGAUAUUCCCUUGUGUUGUAAUGUUCUGUGGAUCUCCUCAAGGCAAUAGUUCUCAGGCUCGACUUGAACUUUGGGAAUCACCCGGGGGGGGGGCUUUAAAUAAGCCCCGUCCCUGGGUCCUACUUCUGAGAUUCUAAAGUAGUUAGUCUGCCGUAUGGCCUGGGCCUGGACCUAGAUUAAAAACUCCCGGGUGUUUGUAAGCAGCCAGGUUGAGUUCCGUUGCCUUAGGGAAGAAGCAAGAUGAGGCUCUAAUUCAGAGUCAUAUACCUCAUUGAGCCCUUUCUGAUGCCAGUUAAGCUCAUGCAUUUUGAGAUCACUGCCCUCUGAAUGCUAGAGUAAAUUUUGCACUCAUAUGCUACCCAAACUAGUUGCAAACAUGCGUGAAAACAAAUCAAAAGGACAAACCUCUAAUCCAGAAGGUUAUUACCAACCCUUUCUGUGCCAACUAGAACACCGUGCGAGGCACAACCUCCCGAUCAUCCCAUUAGCCGACUAUCAUAGUCCUCUGUGCAUUGUAGAGACAUUGCCAAUGGAUAGGGAGCAAAGUCUGGUGAUAAUUAAGAGCUCUUGAUUAAAUCAGCCAAAACAGCUGGAAACCAUUCCUUAGAAACACUAUCAUUUUAAACAAUUAGAGGAAAGCAUUCUCUUUUAUUGUCACUUACCGAAAUGCUAGCUAGCUUUAGCAUUUAACACAGAGUGUAGUGGUGCUGUUAAAAGAGAGAAAAAAAUUACUCCUUUAAAUAUGGUGGCACCGUAGGCAGUGAAGUCCUUUCCAAGACCUUUGUGACAACUGGGAUCAAAUCUUAUUCAUUGCUGUAUCUCCUUUACGUUGAACAGAUUAGGUGCUCAGUAAACAUUUGAAGGGGAAAAAGAAGAAAACACGGAAGGAGUGAAGAGAGAAACCUCAAGGACAUAGAGACAAGCAAACAGGUAAAUCAGAGUUUUGGAAGAGGCUUUUUGUGGUAGAUUGGAAAAAACAGCCUCAAUUUCUUCCCCUGGCUGUAUGCAUUCUCGCAAUUAACUUCUCCCAGAAGUACAUUCUUUCUCCACUCAAUCCGGCCGGGCCUUGCAACUUUGGCCAAUGAGACAAUGACAAAUGUUGGGCAGGCAGAGACAUAGAAAAUGUGAAGACUGGGCUUCCUUUUGGAGGAGAGGCCCCAGUCAUUCCAUCCAUUCCAGAUGAGGCCACCGUAAAUCAGCCAAACCCACCAGCUCAGCAAAGAUUCAAGAAUGAGUCUAGCCCAGACCAACAUCAGACCACCCCACUGAGACGAGCCGUAAUUGUCAACACAGAGGAGCGUGAGCUAAAUAAAAUAGGUAUGUUAAGGCCACUUAUUUUAAGUUUGGGGUGGUUAGUUAUGCACCCCAUAAUCACAAUUGCUAAUCAUCACUACAUAAUUAUUAGUUAUUAGUUAUAACUAUUAGUUGUAACUAUUAUUAGUUAUCACGACAACUGUAGCUAAUUAAUCCCGUUGUAGAAAAGUCAUCGUGGGAGGUAUGAUUUAUCAAGAUCUUCGUUUGUGCCAAGUAGCAUGCUAAGAACUUUACACACAUUUUCUGACAUGGUCCUCACAAAAAUUGAGUAGAUGAGUAUCUCCAUUGCUUUAAUAUGUGAAGCUUGGAGAGAUUGAGUAGGUAUAAUGGCCCUGGAAUUUGAACUUAUGUUCAUGGGCCCCCAAGCCCAAACUCCUAACUACAGACAGUCCAAAGAGUCAACCACGGAGCAAAUCAGAGGGCCUGGCAGGAGAUGGUAGAGAUGAACAGAAGGUAACAACAAUUAUGGCCUCUCUUCCAGUCUGCUCUGCUGAGGGAACUGUGACGCCCUUCAGAAGAGCGAUUAUGUUUUCCAACUGUUUCAAAGACUCUUAGGAAAGUCAGUAGGUUUCGUAUCAGUUCUCAUUUGGGGGAGAAAUUGCGAUUGUAAUUGUAGACGGGUGCCAGGUUGCAAGAGCACCUGGUUCCGGGGGUCCCAAACAGACCAAAUUCAGCCGCUCGCCAUGGGACGAAUGGAGGUGAAACCAGAAAGGAAUUUGUGUCAAUGAGGCCCACACCAGGAAGACAGCGGACUAACAUCUGUCUCGAAAGACAGUCUCCAAAGUGCCAGAAGUACUUCCAGGUUUACAGGAAGAAAGUGUGGGACACAGGUCAGUGAGCACAUGCAGGAAGGCAGUGAAGUUCAAGUCGAUCCGUGUCUUGGGGUCACAUGCAGUCUGACUGGCUCAGGGCAGUCCUUUUUGUUUGGCUGGGUGGUUUCUGUUCCCAGCACAGGAUGCUUGGCCCGUAGGGUCUUUUGCCUGAGUUAAGAGAUAAGCUGCAAAGAAUCAGUUAGGAAGGUUCCAGGUUCAAACAGAAGUAGGUGAAGUCCUCUUUCAUGGAUCACCGCAGAGUUGUCGGAUUUCCUCUUGUGUUUAAGAAGAUGGAAAUAAACUGUGACAGUUGAAUAUUGUUUUCAAGUAAGUUAAAAUAAUUCUUAGGGACACCUGAGUGGCUCAGUCUGCUAAGCAUCUGACUCUUGGUUUUAGCUCAGGUCGGGAUCUCGCGGUUUGUGGAUGGAGCCCCGCGUCAGGCUCUGUGCCGGCAGCUCAGGGCCUGCUUGGGACUCUCUCUCUCCCUCUCUCUCUUUGCCCUUUCCCCCCUGGCGUACGUUCUCUUUCUUUCUCUCUCUGUCUCUCUCAAAAUAAAUAAACUUAAAAACUUAGUUUUAAAAGAUUACACCCCAUGGGACGUGCAAUGCUGGUGAAGUUCGUAAAGGAAAUCUUUGUCCGUAAACUGUGCUCUCCCAGUCUUUGUGUAGCAGUUGAGAGUGAGAGACAGAGACAUCUGCCUCUUGAAUUUGUCUCAAAUAAGGUAACAGAGUUGCAGUUAGACAAUAUCUCCGCUAAUCAGACUUACCUUGAGCCUUGAGUGGGGGGAGGGGUAGCUGAAAACAAAGCCAGAACUUUAGGCCUUUGAAGCAGGAACCUGGUGGCAGCCAGGUUUUGGAUAAAAACACAGUUUUUUAUCCAAUGAAAUGAAGGUGGGGAGGGGCAGAUCUGUUUGGAAAUGAUGAGAAGAAUAAAAGAAAAAAGUUCCCCAAGCAGGUGGCUGAAGCUAGUUGUGGUGGAACACCAGAAUGUUGGGGAACGCUGUUCUUACUGGUGACUCAAGGAGUCUGCGUGGCCUGUAGGUGUUUCUGCGUCUUGGAUUUUCAACUGCAGAAUGUAUUUGUUUUAAAAGAGCAAGAAUUAGGACAAACCCGGCAUUUUAGGAACCACUGUUGGAGGGGAGGGAGCAUGGGAGGGUUUCCCCACAUGGACGAGCGGUUUUCUGGACACCAGCGGGGGUCCCACAAUUUGGCUCAAUUCUGAUGCUACCCCGAGAUAGCGACAGUGUCCUUGGGCGAAGAGCUCGUUCCUACAAAGUGCCGCUGCCAUGGCACGCCAUCCCUGGCCACGGACACGCGUCCCGAGCCUAGACUUGCGUCCUCUGCUUCUGACUGACACAGGGAGACCAGAGGGACUCCAUGAAAAGCCGCUUUUUUUUUUUGUUCCUUUUCCCUGCUCCUACUCUUUUUUUUUAAGUUUAUUUAUUUUUGAGAGAGAGAGAGAGAGAGCAGGGAAGGGGCAGAGAGAAGAAGAGAGAGCAUCCCAGGCAGGCUCCACACCAUCAGCACGGAGCCCAAUGCAGGGCUCAAACCCACGAGCUAUGAGAUCAGCCCCUGAGCCAAAACCAAGAGUUAGACACUUAACUGACCGAGCCACCCAGGUGCCCCUUCCUGCUUCUAUUCCUGCUAGGACCUACACCCCCACCUUAUACACACCUUACAGGGCACAUAAUGUCCUCCUUGUCGAGGUCAAGGAGUUAAUGAUGUCUUCCAGCAUAAUAGGUAACAUCUUGACCAGGCAGGGUCCCCAUGAACUUCCCAAGACCACUGACUCACCAAGAGCUCUGGAUCCAGGGUACGGGUGACUUAUGGAGGACACCUGAGCACUCAUCUUUGUUCCCAAAUGCCUGAGAAGACGUGUGCACCAGACAGAUCACAGGCAAAAGGGAGACCCGCUCUCCUUUCCUUUCUGACGCUCCCAGACACUCUAUAUCUCCACUCUCUCUACCUUCAGUAAACUCCGCUCUUACUUCCUAUCAGCUCAUGUUGGAUUUCUAUCCCGCCUAAAGCCAACGUCCUACAGGACCUCCUCUGGGUCCUUGGACCCAGACAACCUGCAUCACGACCACGCGGCUACAGAUUGGAGGUUCCAGCGACCCCUCCUUGGCAAUUCAAUUCAGAUGCCACUUGGAAGUCUGCCCUGUCAUCUGUACUUCCGACCAACUGGCCAUAAGUCAGAAGUUUCCACAAACCCCUCCUUUAGUUUCAUUUGCUAGAGAAGCUCACAGAACUCAGAGGAGCGUUUUCCUUACAGCUCACUGGUUUGCUAUAAACGGAUAUAACUCAGGAACAGCCAGAUGGAUGGGAUGCAUAAGGCGAAGUGUGGACAAAGGGCUCAGAGUUUCCAUGCCCUUGCCAGGCACGCUACUUUCUUCACACCUGCACGCCUUCCCCAACCCAGAAGCUCUCCAAACUGUGCCCUUUUGGGUUCAUAUGGGAGCUUCAUUGCACAGGUAUGGUUGAUUAACUUAUUGGCCACCUGCAAUUGAACUCAGUCUCCAGCCUCUCUGCCUUCCCUGGUGGUGGGGGUGGGGGGGCGCGCAAGGUCUGAAAGUCCCAAUCCUCUAUUUACGUGGCUGGUCCUCCUGGCCACCAGUCCCCACCCUUGGGUUUCCCUGGGGCUUUCCAAAAGUCACCUUCCUGGGGCACCUGGGUGGCUCAGUAGGUUGAGCAACCAGCUCUUAGUUUUGGCUCGGGUCUGAUUUCAUGAUUCCUGGGAUCGAGCCCCGUGUUGUGUUCCACGCUGCCUGUCAAGAGCCUGCUUGGAAUUCUCUCUCCCUCUCUCUCUGCUUCGUCCCCACUUGUGUGCUCGCUCACACAUGCAUGUUCUCUCUCUCUCUCUCUCUCAAGAAAUAAAUAAACUUAAAAAAACCCACAAAAGUCACCUUGUGAACAUAACAAAAUACAUCUUUAUCACACUCAUCACAGGAAAUUCCAAAGGUUCUAGUAGCCGUGAACUAGGAACCACAGACAACCACCAAAUACAAUAUAUUGGUCAUGUGAAUGACCAGAUACGUAUUUCCUGUGAAUCACAGUCUCACACCUGGAGACACGAAUUCCCUGUACUUUUGGCUAGUGCACGAUUCGAACUACCCUGCUGCAUCCAAAAUGUGCACAGAAGCUAGUACAGUGGUGCUGGGAGCAUCAGAGAGAACAUACGUAUCCUACCUUGGAGGUAUCUAAUGUGAGAUCAGGCAAUGCUCAGGGCUCAAAGAGUUAAGCUAUAAAAUCAGAGCACCAGAUUUGCUCAAUGCUAAGGUGUAUGCUUUUUGCUUUUGAGUGUUUCUGGAAUAAGGUUCCACCUGAUGUUUUUGAUGUCAGCUGAAACUGGCCAGCCUUGGAAGGAGCGGUGUAAGUUUCUUCCUGAAACAAGUCGAUCCCAGUGGACUGUUCCGGCAUUGCUCUCAUUAAUAGGACCACAUGUGGUGGAAUUUUAAUGUGAAUGUGCAUUCCUAAUUGUUGCUUAAAUGAGCUCAAAAGGACCAGGCUAGAGUGCAGCAUUAAAACAGAAGUUAUCAGGGUUGCUCAGUUGGCUAAGCGUCCGACUCUUGGUUUCAGCUCAGGUCGUGAUCUUAUGGUUCAUGAGUUGGAGCCCCUCAUGAGGCUCCGUGAUGACAGUGUGAAGCCUGAUUGGGAUUCUUUCUGUCUCCCUUUCUCUCUGCUCCUCCCAUGCAUUCCCUCUCUCUCAAAAUAAAUAAACUUUAAAUAAAUAAAACAGAAGUUACCACGUGUGCAGGUAAUAAAACUAAAAACAGUAGAAAUGGCCAAUCGCCGCAUGUAGAUCACACAUCUGUCUAGAACAUUGAUAACAACAACAACGAGAAUUUGCAAAGCUAGGAGAAUUGCUGUGACUAAAUCAUGCAGCAAGCCAUCAUUCAUCAUCCACAGUUCCAUCUGUAAAUGCUUCUGACUGGUUCUAAGAGAAACUGUUUUACUUUCGGCAAGAGUACAUUUAAGUGAAAAAAUAUGUGAUGCACACACACACAAACGUGACGCUAUGAACUUAAUCAAAUAACGAAUGUAGCUAAAACUCUUGUAUACUUGGGUUAGCCUCCAAAUAAUGCUAUCAAAGCAACAGUUGCAAUAGAGGCCAAGAUGAAGUUCAUGAAAAAGCAGCAUGUCUGCAUGAUUAUACACAGAGCUGUUGAGAGACACAUGUGAUUCAGAAGAACCUUUGGGUGCUGAAUGUGAAGCAGGCUUAAAGUCAAACUUAGAUUGUGAAAUUAAUGUGAAAUACACUAUAAUUAUAUAGGUCGAUGUAUGUUCUGUUGGUUGAUUUUUAAAAUACAGUUACAUCCAUUGAGUUUCUUGUUUCUCCCCAAAACACUAUGAUUAAAUCCAUAGCUUAUCUUGCAAUUGAUGGCAUUUUACAGUGGAAGAAAUGCAAUGCAUGAACUUAUAUUGGUAAAGUAUAUUAAAGACAAAAGUUUGGGGUGCCUGGGUAGCUCAGUCAGUUAAGCAUCUGACUUUGGCUCAGGUCGUGAUCUCACAGUUCGUGGGUUUGACCCCCACGUUGGGCUCUCUGCUGUCAGCAUGGAGGCCGCUUCAGAUCCUCUGUCCCCCUGUCUCUGCCCCUUCCCCUGCUCAUGCUCUUUCUCUCAAAAAUAAAUAAACAUUAAAAAAAAAAAAAAAGUUUUAUUGGGCCAGGAUGCCUGGCUGGCUCAGCGGAUAGAGCAUGUGACUCUUGAUCCCAGGGUCAUGAGUUCAAGCCCCAUAUUGAGUGUAGAGUCUACUUUAAAAAAAAAAAAAAAAAAAGUUUUAUUGGGCCAAAUAUAGGAAAAGCAAAUUUACCUGUGAUCUAAUUGAUGCAAUUGUUGAUCUUAGAACUGUUGUUUAAAUACCUGCUCUAUACAAGGUAAUUUUCUAGAUUUAAAAAAAAAAUCUGUAUCUAAACAAAUCUGAUUUGCAAGUAUCAAAAUCACUUUAAUCUAGUUUAAACACACACGCACGAAGAGGGAAUUUAUUAUGAGAAUACAAAGGCAGGAUGCAGCAAGCUCAAAAUGACUUGGAAUUAAAAGGAAAGUCAUCAGGGGGCGCCUGGGUGGCGCAGUCGGUUAAGCGUCCGACUUCAGCCAGGUCACGAUCUCGCGGUCCGUGGGCUCGAGCCCCGCGUCGGGCUCUGGGCUGAUGCCUCAGAGCCUGGAGCCUGUUUCCGAUUCUGUGUCUCCCUCUCUCUCUGCCCCUCCCCCGUUCAUGCUCUGUCUCUCUCUGUCCCAAAAAUAAAUAAACGUUGAAAAAAAAAAAAAAAAGGAAAGUCAUCAGGGGGCACCUGGGUGGCUCAGUCGGUUAAACGUCUGACUUUGGCUCAGGUCAUGAUCUCAGGGUUAGUGGGCUCGAGCCCCGCAUCGGGCUCUGUGCUGGCAGCAUGGAGCCUGCUUGGCAUUCUCUCUGUCUCUCUCUGUCUCUCUCUCUCUCUCUCUCUCUGCCCCUCAAAAUAAAGAAAUACAUUUUAAAAGGAAAGUCAUGAGGAACGUUGGAAGUCAUGUACCUUCCUCACGGCUCUCUCUUGCCUCUCCCUCUGCAGAAGGAUUAUUUUGCUAUGCGGUUCACGUGACUACAGAUGGUCAUUCCACAGCUCUCAGAUUUUAUUAUCUGCCGUACUCAAAAUACCAGCAACCCGCGUUGAACUCUUCUCUGUUCAUUCUAGCCCCACAUUCCCAGGAAAAUACACGGUGUGGUUUGAGUCAGAUACACGUCUUGUUUCAAUCAGCUGACGUAUCCAGAUGGCACAGCAGUUAUUGCUAUAAUAGUUCUACAGACACACUGCCCCAAACCUCAGGGCCUUAAAACAACCACCAUGCUUAGUUCUCAUGAGUUUAUGUGUCCCCUGGAUGGCGGCACUGAUCUGGACCGAGCUUGACUGAAUUUGGCUAGGGAACAGCCCUGUGGACAGUAUACAUCUCACGUCUGAGGACCACGCCUGUGGGUGAAAGGCACAGUGAAGGUGAUUGUUGUGAGCUGGGCCUCUAAGUCUUAAAACAGGCUAAUCUAACACCAUCUGUCACUGAAUUCCCGCACUCCCCCUGUGAGAUGGGUGUCAUUUGUCUACUUGUUACAGAUGAGGAAACUGAGGCAGGGAGCUGUCAGGGCCAGGAUGCUGUAUCAGUUCUACCUGACCACACAACCGGUAGUCAUUCCAUCAGAUUCAGUUACAAGAGAAUUUUUAGCCAACAGAGGAAACUAUCGGCAAUAUUAUGUAGAAAGAGGAGAACCAAAGAGGCAUUUUUGGUGGAUUCAUAUAAAAUGGUCUUAAGGGAGGGGAACCAGACUCAAAGAUUCAGACACUCUUUGUGUAUCCUUUUGCAGAGAUGAGGCAUUGCUCCCACCUGUCCAUUCCCUCCCUUCCCCCAACCGUUAGGGACUUUUUCCAAAUAACUCACCAUGCUGUAUGACUUAUUUCACACGUUUAAUGAGUUAAACAUUUGAAGCAUAUGUCAAUUCUCUUGGCCCCAGUCCUGAGGUUUACUAAGCUACCUUGGUUUGGUUUCUCAUCUAUAUUUGAUACAAGAAACAAUGCACUGAUACAAGAAACUGCAAACUCCUGCCCUUCCUGAUAGUUGUAUUUCUCACCUGUGGACAUUUGAUUUAUAUACUUCCAUCUCUCAUGAUUUUAAUUAGAGUAGAUAUAUUGGUCAGGGCACACCAAGUCAUGCCACAUCACUGCUUUAUUUUUGGAUAAAUUAGAAUCUUAUAUUACAUUAUCUCAUCUGCGCUCCCCUCUCCCCCCACCCCCGGCCACUGCUAACUGAACAAGACUUUAGCUUAUUCGUUCUUGCAUGUGUUCAUUCAUCUUAAAAAAUGUAUUGAGUAUUUGCUAUAUGCCAGGUAUCCAACAGGUGCUGGGAUAGACACAGCCAACUAUCACCAGUUCACGGUGAUUGCCGCGUAGUAAGGUAGACAAUAAGAAAGUACGUGAACAAAUAUCUAAUUAUGAAUUGUGUUAAGUGCUGUAAAGCAAAGGAAUAGUGUCCUGUGAUAAAAAGAAAUGGGAAUAGGAAGAAGGAGAUCUGCUUAUGAGUUAGAAGGGCUGGAGAAGGCCUCUCCGUUGGCUUACCAAAGGCCAGGCCGUGGGUGGCUGUGGUUCAUUGCAGACGCAGGCUAUAAAAAGAGGCAUUCUUUGGAGAGGACUUGACCACGAUGAAAAAAAAAAUAUUAAAAGUGCGUUUGCUUUUAUUAUCACCAUGUGCCAGCUAUUAUAAAAAAGUCAGUGAUAAAAUGCCCUCUGAAAAAGUUUUUUGUCUAAGGUCUAAUCAAUUUCUGUGGUUACUGUGAGUUCUAGUAAUUUACAUGUAAUUGGCACAUUUUUAUUGCUUACAAUAAAACAUAAUAUUCAAUUUGGAAUACUUUAAAGAGCUCCCAAUUAUAAAAAUCAGCCUCCACACAUACGGACACAGCUACACACAUUCAGAGAGUGGGUUCAGAGCGAUUCCAAAUUACUCGAGCUAGCUUCUGGUUCAGUUCCCAUCGCCAAAUCCUGUGUUACGACACAUCUCCGUAACACUAUUUAAAAAUUUUUAACACUAUUUAACACUAUUUAACAAUUUACUAUUUAAAUAGUAAAAUUGGAAUAAAUGAUAGCACGUUGACUGUGAACAUUAAGAGGCAAACUUGAGGGUCUUCAAUUCUAAGUGACAACUUGUAGCUUUUAUUUGUGUCUAAAUUUUAAAACAGCAAAUUGUGAACUCUGAUACAUAAUAUUGUUUGGAAAGGCACAUCUCAGUUUAUACAUGAACCAUUUUACAUUUCAGUUUAUACAUGAACUAUUUUACUGAUUUUGAAUGAUAUUUUAAUUUUAAAGAUCCUUUUUAAAUUAAUUGCUUUAUUUUUUUAAAAGGCCUUAUCUUAAUUUCUUCCUUAGCCCCCAGAGCAGUCAUACUGAUGUGUUUUGGUUUUUCUUUGAUGUUUAUUUAUUUUUGAAAGAGAGAGAGAAUCAGUGGGGGAAGGCAGAAGGAGAGAGAGACACAGAAUCUGAAACAGGCUCCAGGCUCUGAGCAGUCAGCACAAGAGCCUGACGUGGGGCUCGAACCCAUUAGCCAUGACAUUAUGACCUGAGCCGAAGUCAGACGCCUAACCGAUUGAGCCAUCCAGGCGCCCCUUGCUUUAUGUUUUUUUAAAGAUUUUAUUUUUAGGUAAUCUCUACAUCCAGCAUGGAACUCGAACUCACGACCCCGAGAUCAAGAGUUGUACCCUCUACCAACUGAGCCAGGCAGGCACCCCUUAAAUUAAAAGUUAAGAAAAAAAAUCAGUCAAGAUUAUAUUUGAUUUUAUUGAUUAUUAGAUUAUUACUAAAAGGGGCACCUGGGUGGCUCAGUGAGUUAAGUGGCCAACUUCAGCUCAGGUCAUGAUCUCGCGGUCUGAGAGUUCGAGCCCCGUGUCGGGCUCUGUGCUGAUAGCUCGGAGCCUGGAGCCUGCUUCUGUUUCUGUGUCUCCCUCUCUGCCCCUCACCCAUUCGUGCUUUGUCUCUCUCUGCCUUUCAAAAAUGAAUACAUGGUAAAAAAAAUUUUAGAUUAUUACUAAAUGUAUUUUUGUCAUAUAGAGAAAGAGACUGUUAAAAAAUGAUUGGCUCUGGUGAAAAAACACAGACACCACUGGGUCUCUCUGAGAUAAGCGUCUCUCAAAGAGGAAGGUGAAGUUUAGGAGAAGGUAGGGCUUACAGGUCCAGCUUCCCCAACCGUGUGAAGUUUUCCCCUCAAAUUGUCAACCUCAGGAAUCUGAGACUUGGGGCGCCUGGGUGGCUCAGUUGGUUAAGCAUCUGAAUUUGGCUCAGGUCAUGAUCUCACAAUUUGUGAGUUUGAGCCCCGAGUCGGGCUCUGUGCUGACAGCUCGGAGCCUGGAUCCCGUUUUGGAUUUUCUGUCUCCCUCUCUCUCUGCCCCUCCCCUGCUCGCUCUCUCUCUCUCUCUCAAAAAUAAAUAAAAUAAACAUUAAAAAAAUAUUUGAGAUUUGCUUUUUAAAGGAAGAUGAUGUCUCAUUUACAGAAGUCUGUAAUGGGGAAAGGAAUAGGUCCUUGAGUUUGGUGAUUAAUGAUCAUCAUUAAUGGUGAAGAGAGAAUUUUUACCUGAGCAGUUUAGAAAUGAAGAAAAGAUGAGGUGGAGAGGAAAGAAGCCUGCAGGAAUAGAUAUUUAGCAGCAAAAUGAAUAGGAAUCUUCUUUCCCCAAGAGGGGAUUAGCUGGCCCCAAACCCCCAUGAUUCACGAGCAAUGGCAAAUGGAAUCCCUCAUUUUGCUAUUAAGCUUAGUUUGCGACUAACUGUCCAAAACCACAGUGAAGUUUGUACACUUUUAAAUGAUCCCAGAAAAGGCAAGCCUGGGGGGAUGCAUAAGUAUGAGCAUAAGGGACCGGGAGAUGACUCAGAUAAACAAACACAGCAUGAAGAAUGAGCCAUGGAGGAAAAGGAAAGAGAAAUGUCAUUGAUUUUGUUGAUAUGGUUGUUCAUUCACCAUGGAGGUAAAGUAAUACAAUUUUCUAUAACUAGACAGGUGCCAGGGUUUACACAUUUAUUAAGUCAGUUUUAAAAUUGCCCAAUUUAAUUGCAAAUCUUUUAAGGAUAGUUUCCCCUGUAGUUACUUAUUCUAAUAUUCAGUAAAAUUGUUCUUCACAUAAUCUGACCUUCUUUGUUUUGUAAUUGUGCUAACAGUGAAAUAAAACACAUCUUCCCCGUCAUAUUAAGACAUUCUGUUAAUAACUUUAGUAUAAGCCCACAUAAACCAACUACAAUUUCCAAAUGCUGUUAUAAUGAUGCAGAGUAGGAGAAAAUAGUUUUUGAUCGCAUGAACCAAAAAUCUUUGUAGGUGCCAAUGACUCCAGCUGGAGAGGAAAAUACAAUCUGUCUAAUGGAAAAGAUAUGUUUUUAAAAGACAUACACACCAAUCACAGAGAAUCUGAAAAACGCAGAAGCUAAAUGUAUAAAGAAGAAAAUACCAGUGAUGUCUAAUUUAUCUCCCUCUGACUCAGAAAUAACCUUUUGCUUUAGUAUCAGGAGGUCAUGCCACGGACUUCAAGGGACUCUAAAUGUGCAAAAGACAACAGAACAUCAAACGUGUGUUUUCAUUAGCAUUUGGUUGAUAUUACCCUUUCUCGACUGUAAGUUCCCUGCAGGAAGUAACCAUAUCUACAUUUAAUAUUGUGAGCAUGCCGGGGCUCCUGGGUGGCUCAGUCAGUUAAGCGUCCGACUUCAGCUCAGGUCACGAUCUCUCGGUUUGUGGGUUCGAGCCCCGCGUGGGGCUCUGUGCUGACAGCUCAGAGCCUGGAGCCUGCUUCGGAUUCUGUGUCUCCCUCUCUCUCUGCUCCUCCUCCGCUUGCACUCCGUCUCUCUCUCUCUCUCUCUCUCUCUCUCUCUCUCGUUCUCUCUCGUCUCUCUCUCAAAAAUAAAUAACAUUAACAAAUUUGUUAAAAAUAUUGCGAACAUGCUGGGCACAAGAUCAGCAUUCAGUAUGUAAAUGCUGAAUGAUGAGGUCUGUUUCCUUAGCAAUGAGGCAUUUAGGUUCUCAUGACCUUCGUGCUUUAUACCCUCCGGAUGUGAUGUCUCUUCUCUUGCCCAGUUCUCAUUAUGUCAAGGCCCAUCAUCAUUUUGGCCAUCUUCCUCUCCUUCCUCUGUCUUUUCCUUUUCCUCCUCUUCUUGUCCCUCUUCCUUGUCCCCCUUCUCUUGUUGUUCUACAUCUUGUGAUGUCUCUCUUAGAGCACAGUGCCCCCAACUUGCUCCCAGUAUUGCCCUGGAUGUGACAGUCAUCAAAGGUGACACUGAUUUACUCCUGUGCAAGGAACCAGACACAGUACUCAGGAUAUUGCCUACAUUCUUGUUUUUAGGCUGCCCUGCAACCCUGGGAUGUGCACACUAACAUUUUGUCUUUUUUUUUUUUUAAGUUUAUUUAUUUAUUUUGAAAGAGAGAGAGAGAGAGUGAGAGCAUGAGUGGGGGAGGGGGAGGGGCAGAGAGAGAGAGGAAGAGAGAGCAUCCCAAGCAGGCUCCGUGCUGUCAGCAAGGAAGCUGAGGCAAUACUGGAUCCCAUGAACCGUGAGAUCCUGACCUGAGCCGAAAUCAAGAGUCGGACACUUAACCAACUGAGCCACCCAGGUGCGCCCAUAACAUUUUGUGUUUUUAUUUUUAUUUACUCGCUUAUUUACUUAUUUAUUUUACAGUUUAUUAUUUAUUUUGAGAGAGAGCGAGCGUGUGUGUGAAUGGGGGAGGGGCAGAGAGAGAGGGAGAGAGAAUCCCAAGCAGGCUCCACGCCAUCAGCGCAGAGCACGAGGUGGUCGCCUGCAACAGACUUUGUGGUCUAGCUGUCACUCACUACAUCUUUCCACAGUCCUUUCUCCAAAAACGGAUGGUCUGCUGAUUCUUGCCAUGAGGCUUUUAAAAAUGGAUGGGGAGGGGCGCCUGGGUGGCUCGGUCGGUUAAGCGUCCGACUUCGGCUCAGGUCAUGAUCUCACGGUCAGUGAGUUCGAGCCCCGCGUCAGGCUCUGUGCCGAUAGCUCAGAGCCUGGAGCCUGUUUCAGAUUCUGUGUCUCCCUCUCUCUCUGCUCCUCCCCUGUUCAUGCUCUGUCUCUCUCUGUCUCAAAAAUAAAUAAACGUUGAAAAAAAAAUUUAAAAAUGGAUGGGGAAAAGAAUGGGAAAGUGAUGCUGUGAACCUGUGCUUCCUGAGCCUCUGUGUCGGGGACUAAUCACGCUGGGAAGGUCCAGAUUAACUAAGGAAACCAGUUCUAAGUUUCCAAAAUUCAAUUUAAAUGGCAACUAAAAGGCAUUUACACAUCCUGGAAAAAGCAGAAAGGCAGCGUCUGGACUGCUUUUGCUGUGGAGGCUGCGAGUCAGUAUUAUGUCAGGGGUGUGGGAAAGUCAAGGCUCAGGAGACACCCCGCAUCUGUGGAAACAUAAUCCAACAAUUGUUACACGCACAGGCUGACGCGCCACAGAAAUGAAACAAUGGGUCCCUGCAGAUAGCAUUUUUUUGCGCCUAAUCAUUUGGUUUCAAUCUUGACAAUGUUCUGUGGAUGCUUGUGGAAGAGGUCCCUCUGGUCAACAAAUAGAAGGCUUUUAACUAUACCAUUAAAAUGGGGGGAAAGUAGCCACAGAACCCAACAUGGUGCUACCUGACGUGAACAGAAGCAUGAAAUGGUUUUGAAUAAAUGAAAAAGUCUGGGUACUUCCUGCAUGUAUUUUCCCAUGUAUUGGCUUUCAACUGUAGGGAAAUAAUCUGUGGAGUGUGUAAACAGGAGAAAGUGCUUUUUAGAAGCAGUUGUUAGAUAAAAACAUUCAGUUCAUUUCGACUGACAUGCAUUGCAUCCAAUUUGUUGUUUUUACUUGAUUGAAACUGCAAUCUGUCCAAAAAGCGAUUUAAGAGAAAUACGUAUUAGUAACUCCCUCUGUGCAAAAAGUUAACACCCGUUUCAAGAGGGGGGUUCAGAGAUGGAACAGACCCCUAUCUCUGAAGAUACUCAUCACACAGAAGAAGAGGUUGUAUGUAUCAGUCAGCUCUUAGUUGCGAGAACAAGUCGUUUGUUUGGUAAUGUCUUGUUGUAGAAUAAACUCCCCUAAAAUUUAGCGGCUUAAAACGAUAAUUUGUCGUUACUGCUCAUGGUUCUACGAUUGACUGGUCCAGCCAGGGGGGCCUGGCCUGGUCUCUCGUGUAAUUACGGUCAGAUAUUGGCCGGGGCUACAGUCGUCUGAGGGCUUACUGGGCCUGUCAUCCAGGCUGGCUCAUUCCCACGGUGGGCAGCUGGCUGUCAUCGGGGACCUCAGCCGGGCUGACAGAGCGCCUGCUCCUUGGAAAUACAAUUAAAAACAAAAUCUUCGAACCCAGAAAACCUCUCUGCAGAGGUAGUAGAAUAAGAAAACAGUCUAAGGGCCAAAGCAGAACGUGCUGCACGUUGACACAUUCUGCUAAGUGAUCGCGAGGAGGGGUCUCACCCUCUUACACGGCCAAGCAGAUGCCACCUGUUAAUUGCCUGUUCUCCAGAUAAACGACAACGACUAGUCCCCAGGUCAGGGGACUUGAUGGCACCAUUUGUCACACAUACUUCAUCCUGACUUUACGAGGUAAUCGGGGCGACCCUCUGCGUUAGCGAAUUGGUUUUUUCCAGAGGGAUAACAAACUUCUGAUAUCUUUAUGACAGGACAUUAUAUUACAACUUGGAAAAAGGCACCCACUCAAGUUAGGUUCCCACCCUCUGAGAGAAAUAGAGAGAGGGAGACAGAAGGGGCCGGGGUGGGAACCGGAACAGGGGCAUCCCCCUUCGUGUCUACACUACAAAGAAAGGGCUCCCAGCUCUUUGAGAAAGACAGUUCUAGGUCAUAAAGCUGACAAAAGACCUCUCUAGUUUUCGAAAGGGUUUAUAUACACAUUCCAAGUUGUUUUUUUUUCUUUAAAAAAAAAAACCUUUUUUUUUUUAAUGUGUAUUUAUUUUUGAGAGACAGAGAGAGACCAAGAAUCCAAAACAGGCUUCAGGCUCUGAGCUGUCAGCACAGAGCCCCAUGUGGGGCUUGAACCCACAAACCUUGAGAUCAUGACCUGACCCCAAGUCAGAUACUUAAGGGACUGAGCCACCCAGGCCUCCUGCCAGCCUCUGUAUUCUUGAACUUCUGCUACUUUACUCUCAAGUUUCUCUGGAAAAAUAAAUUCCAUGUGCUGGUAGCCUCCUUCUAUUACCCACUUUUUCUUAUUUGUGUGUUUGUUUGUUUGUUUUGUUAGGCUCCAUGCCCAGAGUGAAGCCCAAUGUGGGGCUUGAACCCAUGACCCUGAGGCCAAGACCUGAGCUGAGAUCAAGAAUCAGACAUUUAGCCAGCUGACCCAUCCAGAUUUUUUUUGAACUUUUUACAUUUAUUUUUGAGAGAGAGAGAGUGAAUACGAGCGGGGGAGGGGCAGAGAGAGAGGGAGACAGAAUCCACAAAGCAGGCUCCAGGCUCUGAGCUGUCAGGGCAGAGCCAGAUGCGGGGCUGGAACCCGUGAACCACGAGAUAAAUGACCUGAGCUGAAGUCAGACGCUUAACCAACUGAGCCACCCAGGCACCCCCCCUCCCCCACCUGACCCCACUUCUCACUUUUGUUUUUUUAAAUUUUUUUUUUCAAUGUUUAUUUAUUUUUGGGACAGAGAGAGACAGAGCAUGAACGGGGGAGGGGCAGAGAGAGAGGGAGACACAGAAUCGGAAACAGGCUCCAGGCUCCGAGCCGUCAGCCCAGAGCCCGACGCGGGGCUCGAACUCCCGGACCGCGAGAUCGUGACCUGGCUGAAGUCGGACGCUUAACCGACUGCGCCACCCAGGCGCCCCCACUUCUCACUUUUGAAUAGACAUCUGGUUCUGGAGCAUCUGAUUGGUGGUGCAUAAGUCACGUGGCUGAGUCUAGCUGAAAAGGAGGCUGUGAAAAUGAGGUCCUGCCUUCUUUCUCGGGAUGUUUCUCAGGAUGAUGGAUUAUGUCGGAUUACCCCAAUCAGAUUUCUAGAGGUCAGCACCUUCUCUCGUCCUCUGACUCCACAUCCAGUCUCAUGAUCAAGCCAUGUCGAUUUUAUUGAAAAUAACCGUCUUUGUUAUGCCAAUGGCGAAACUCUUUAUGCACGCAAUGGAUGAAACUUGUCUACUGAGUAGAACGGUGGGAUUUGCUGCUUUUAAAUUUGCUAAUUUAUCCUAUCAUUUUAAAAACAAAGAGUAGAAAUAACUCCUUGCCGUUUGGUGGGUCCAUCCUAUUUGUUGAACUUGAGAGAACUUUCCUUUGCCUCGGUAUCCCCACUGGUUGAAAAAAGGAUGUGGACUGUGUGUCCUCUCAGCUUCUUCCCCACUGCGUCAAUGAGUAGAUUUCUUUUUUUGAAACACUAGAAAAGAUGGGGAAAAAACAGGAAAUCUGUGCCUGAGUCCUUACAGAUUAGACAGUCGUGAGCUCUGGAAUGCAGGGAUCUGGUGUAUUAGUCCAGCACCAAUCCCCUUUUCACAGAGAUUGGAACUGGACGCACUUCAACCCUGCCGGUUGAGGCCAUGGCUUUUUUGUGCCUUGCAGUAAAUCAGUAUUGUCAGGAUUUCUGAUUAUCAUAACCUCCCGAAAUAGAAGCUCAUUAUUCUCUUCCCAUUCCAGGCUCAACAGAAUUGUGCCUGAUUAAAACUUUACAGGGAAUGCAGGGAGCCUUUAGCAAUUUUUCUCUCCCCCUGCCGUUCACUAUGUUUUUCUUCUUAAAAAUUUUUGUAUGCGCUAGAACUAUUUUGUUUCUGCGUUCCUUAAGAGGCGGCUUGCAUAUGCUAUGAGAGAUGGUUGCAGUAUUAAGGUGUUGAAAAUCCUUGAUGGCCCUGGUGUGCUACAGGAAGUUAACGCAGUGUCUUACAGUGAUUCACUGAGAGCUGUUGAACUCCAUGGAAACUUCUUUGUAGAAGAACAAAAGCCUAAGGGCAUCUUUGUCGUCAAUAUGUUCUCACCUUCAAGUGAAUGAGAAGAAGGAAUAAACCCACAAUAAUGAGAGUACAGCCUCAUGGCAUUUUUACUCUGAAUGAUAUUUCAGAGGAUACUCUGGAAGAUCUCUCUCCACACCAUGUACAAAGAUAUUUUUAGACUGUCUAUGUGUUUGUAAUCUUGCUACAAUAUUGCUGCACCGUGAACAACAACCAUGAAAUCUGACCGUGUUUUCACAAUGGAAAUCUCGAAGAACUUCGUAAAAGCAUAAGGAGCGUUUGCUAAGACUGUUGGGAUUCAGGGAUCCUUUAAAAAUAUUUUCUUCUGUUCUCUAGAGAGAGACUUGGUGGUAGGUGAUGUGAAAUGUUGGGGUCUGGGAGCGAACAGUCAGGAAGGAAUUCUUGAGGAGUGCCUGGGUGGCUCAGUCAGUUAAGUAUCUGACCCCUGAUUUUGGUUCAGGUCAAGAUAUCAGGGUUUGUGGCUUUGAGCCCCACCUCAAGGGAGGAUUCUGCCCCUUCCCUGCUCUUUCUUUCUCUCGCUCAAAAUAAGUAAAUAAAACUAAAAAAAAAAAAAAAGAAAGAAAGAAAGAAUUCUUGAGACGUCUUCGGUGCAAACAAGGUGGUUUUAUUAAAGCACGGGGACAGGACCCGUGGGCAGAAGAGCUACACUGGGAUUGUGAGAAGUGACUGAUUAUAUACUUUCAAGCUGGGAGGGGGUUAGAGAUAGUGUAAGUCUCUAAGGAAUUUGUAAGCAAGGUUUCCAGGCCCUUGAGUGGCUUGCUGCUAUUGGGACGAGGUCAUUUACUACUGUCUCAGUCGUGAGACCCUUCAGAUAUGUAUCAGUGGGCCAUAUGUUUGCAGGAUAAUUGUUAACGUAUAUCUCGGGGCAUAGGUAGAGACAAAGGAAGUCGAAGGGAUUUUUAUAUGCUGAAGAAGACUUACUGGAUCCUGGAGGUCAGGUUUAUGUCAAGCUAAGGUUGCCUUUUGCUGCUAGCAAAGUAUUCACAUUGAGGCAGCUGAGUUCUUGGAGGAAGGUCACUUGGUCUGUCUCAAGUACUUGUCAACGGGAUGUAAGUUACAAAGAAGUUUAAUAUUUGUAUUUUUUUAAGUUUAUUUAUUAGAGAAAGAGAGAGAGAGAGAGAGAGAAAGAGCCGGGGAGGGGCAGAAAGAGAGGGAGAAGAGAAUCCCAAGCAGGUUCCACACUUUCAGUGCAGAGCCUGUCUUAGGGCCCCAUCUCACGAACCGUGAGAUCGUGACCUGAGCCGAAAUCAAGAGUCGAUGCCUAACCGACUGAGCCACCCAGGCGCUCCAGAAAGUUUAAUAUUUUUCUGUAUUUCUUUUGCCUUUGUUCUCCACAUCAGUGGGGAUGAAACUGGGGAGAAGAGUCCACAUCACCCAGAAGCAGUGUCAGUUGCUUACGGUAAAAGUUGGGUUUGUACUGUGCUCCCAGAAGUCACGUAAUUUUCCAGAAAAGCAAAAGUUCCGGAUUUCUUUUAACGUUUAUUUGUUUUUGAGAGAGAGAGAGAGAGAGAGAGAGAGAGAGAGAGCAAGCCUGAGCAGGGAAAGGGCAGAGAGAAAGGGGGCUAGAGGAUCCGAAGUGGGCCCCAAGCUGGGACAGCAGCGAGCCCGACGUGGGGAUCAAACUCAUGAACUGUGAGAUCAUGACCUGAGCUGAAGUUGGAUUCUCAACUGACUGAACCACCCGUGUGCCCCUGUUCAGGAUUUUAAUAGAUGUUCAGUAACCUAGUAAUUUUUCAAAAAAGCGUAUUAGCUGGGCCUCAUGGGUGGCUCCUCUGGUUCAGGCUGGUCAAAUCUUUUCACAAAAGCAUAUUCUCCUUUUACAUUUCUCUUUUGACAAGUAUUUACUGAACACCAAUUAUGUUCCAGAUACUGAUCUAGGUACUAGAGGAACAGGAGUGAAAAAACAACCAGAUGUGCUCUCUGCCCUCAAGGAGCUCAUAGUCUAGUGGAUGAGAAAGAUAGUGAAUAAUUAAGCAUUUAAUAAAUAUGACCAUUUCAGAUACUGAGGAGUGCCAUAGCAAAAUAAUAAUAAUAAUAAUUAUUAUUAUUAUUAUUAUUAUUAUUUUGAAAAUUAAAAAAAGAGGGGCACCUGGAUGGCUCAGUAGGUUAAACAUCUGACUUUGGUUCAGGUCAUGAUCUCACAGUCCGUUAGUUUGAGCCCCGCGUCGGGCUCUGAGCUGACAGCUCAGAGCCUGGAGCCUGCUUCAGAUUCUGUGUCUCCCUCUCUCUCUGCCCCACCCUUGCUCGCACUCAGUCUCUUUCUGUCUCAAAAAUAAGUAAACAUUAAAACAAUAUUUUUAAUUAAAAAAAAGAAAGAAAAGAAAAAAGAAAGAAGUACUUCCCUAACAUUGUGUCCUUAUUUCCAAAGGAUUUUACUGUCUACUAAGUAAGAAAUGGAUGAAAAGACCCUGACCGUAGUAAAAGAAUAAACACACACACACACACACACACACACACACACACACACACACACACACACUUUGUAAUAAUCCUAUGCCUCAGCAUGAGAUUGAAGCAAAGCAUGGACACAGAUAUCCAAUUUGUGCAAUCCAGUUUCGUGCAAAUAGCUGUAAUUUAUCAAGGUUCUGCUACAAAGGCGGUAAAAAUAAAAGCACCAGGAAUGGUUGUUGACCCAUGAGAACACCAUACUCAUCGCAUGCUUCACUCACAAGGGGACAGUGGAGACACUAGCCAGCCCCUCCAUCACAGGCCCAAGAAAUUCACUGCUGCUCUCGACGGUCCCCAACUACACACAUACGGGGAUAUUUAUUGCCCAUUUACUCCUAAGCGCCAGGCACCAUGGUCGGCACUUAACGUGCACUCUUUCAGUUAAUCCUUGCAGAACCCCCCGAGGCAAGGAACAUAACCCCCCCUUUUGCAGAUAAGGACCUUGAAGCCCAAAGCCUGACAAUUGACCUCACACAUGGAUAAUGAGUGACAAGUGUGAGACCAGUCUGUCUAACUCCAAAGCCAACUGCUUUGUCCAGGCUGAGGGCACGAGAAGGCUAAAAACAUCCAGGGCAGGGGGUCUGGGACUCUCACAAGGUGAAUUAGCGGUCUACCAAUGCAGUAAGUCUUCAGCCUACUGUCUUCCUUAUUUUAGCUUCGAUGGUGACCAGUGGGUCUAGCAGCAUUUUAAAAGGUGCAGUAAGUAUGCACUUAGAAUGAUCUGAAUCCCUCUAGCCUUUUGGGAUUAAAACUACGUCUAGGAAGGUGAUGAAGUUUCGGAGGGAGGGUGGGGGUCAGGAGCCGAUGGCCAAAAAGGAGUUCCUAAGAGGUCUUUAGUGCAAAAGAUGAUUUAUUAGAGCCCGGGGACAGGACCUGUGGGCAGAAAGAGCUGCACUGGGGUGGUGAGGGGUGAUUGGUUAAAUACUGUGGAGUUGGGGGAGGGAAAGGCAAAAGGGAGGUUUCCAAAGAGAAACCUCGUGUGCUAAAGAGAACUCCUGAGAUACUGGAGGCCCAGCUAUGAUCAAGCUAAGGUGGUUUUUUUCCCCCCUAGCAAAGCAUUAGCAUGAAGACAGUAGGGAGUUGCUGGAGAAAUGUUCUACUCCACCAGCCUCAAGCAUCUGUCCGGUGGGCUCCAGUUUACAAAGGAAUUUAAUUUCAUUUACAUUUUCUUCUUGUCUUCUUUCCCCCAUCACUGGACGGGAGGGUGAUGUUAGGGCUCCAGGAAACUGUGACUAUAGGUUUCUGGAGAUUGCCUGUUUUUUUUUUUUUUUUGUUUUGUUUUGUUUUGUUUUUGUAAAUCAUUAAGUUGCAGACUGAUUGAGACUCAUCCCGCAGGACUGUGAUCUCUAUCAGUUAACCACUUGUUUCUCCCUUUCCUUUGUUCUUGGGUAGCCAGGAGAGCCUGAAGAAUGUCACAGGUGUCCCACCUGGUGUGGGGGGGUGUGUGUGGCGUGUCAGCUUGUGCUUUGUCCUCAGCUUGCCUUUGAUGCCCCCAUCGAUAAGCUUCUUUCAUUCAUAUUUUUAAAAACCUCAUAUAUUGGGGCAUCUGGGUGGCCCAGUUGGUUAAGCUUCUGACCCGUGGUCUCAGCUCAGUUCUCGUCGCAGGGUCUUGAUCGCAGGAUUGUGAGUUCAAGCCCAGUGUUGGGCUCCAUGCUGGGUCUGAAGCCUAAUUAAAAAAUAAAGAAAAACUAACAGCCUCGUGUAUUAUGAACAGCUUACUAAGACAAUAAAUAUUUGUAUACCAGAAUUAACAUCCAUAAACAGAGUUGCAGUUCAAAAGUAGUCAUGUGUUUAUUUGCUUAUGAAUUAUCAAAUUGCUUUUUGGAAAGCUUGUACGAAUUUAUUCUCCCAUCGACUGUGUGACAAUCCAGUUUCCCUGUAUUUUCACCAACACUACAUUAUCUUUUAUUUUGCUGUUUUAUUGACCCCAAAUAUUUUAUUAUGGUUCUGAUUUGCACUGGUUGCUUGAGAGGAUUAUCAUUGUUUUUUUUUCCAUCUUCACAUGUGUUAACCUGUGUAUAUCUUUUAUUCAGAAUCUCUUUUGAAGAGUUUAUCUAUUUGUAAAACCCUCCAUUUUGUCUUCUUUUAUUUAUUUUUUGUAAAACUUUCUUUAAAAAAUAUUUUUUUGAUGUUUAUUUUUGAGAGGGAGAGACAAAACAUGAGCUAGGAGGGGCAGAGAGAGAGAGGGAGACACAGAAUCUGAAGCGGGCUCCAGGCUCUGAGCUGUCAGCACAGAGCCCAAUGCAGGGCUUGAACUCACGAAAUGCGAGUUCGUGACCUGAGCUGAAGUUGGAUGCGCUUAACCGACUGAGCCACCCAGACGCCCCUGUUUCUUUCUCUUUCUUUCUUUUUUAAAGUUUAUUUAUGCGUCUUAGAGAGAGCAAGCAGCGGAGGCGCAGAGAGAGAGACAGAGAAAGAGAAUCCCAAGCAGGCUCCACACUGUCAGCGCAGAGCCGGAUGUGUGGCUCGAACCCACCAAUCACGAGAUCAGGACCUGAGCCGAAAUCAAGAACCAGACGCUUAACUGACUGAGCCACCCAGGCACCCCAACACUCUGUUUCCGAAAUACAGGAUAUUUCUAGUGUGCGAGCCCGAAUGAGCAUUUAUCUCACGCUGGAGAAAGAGGUGGGAUCAGUUGCUGCAUAGAAUAAAGCUCCUGGUAGGGCACAGACAGGCUGCUGGUGUGUGGAUGUGUGGCCUAAAACUGUGAGCUCAGCGGCCACAGAGCUGGUUUCUGAAUGGCACGUACCUGGAGGCCAGCCUGUGUGAAAUUCCACUGUUCUCUUCACAGCGCUUCCUUGGGUCUGGAGUCUCUCUGAUCUAUUCUGCCUUUACCCUGCUGAGGACAGAUCACCUUGAGCAAAGUGCAACA
RNAcentral lists this long non-coding RNA (25961 nucleotides) under Lynx pardinus (Iberian lynx). The stretch from base 9694 to 9778 matches the Rfam family "tRNA". The record is from RNAcentral. Lineage: Eukaryota; Metazoa; Chordata; Mammalia; Carnivora; Felidae.